GAGGGGUUUAAAGGCCGCGGUAAUUUGACCGUGCUAAGGNAGCAUAAUCNCUAGUUUUUUAANUGGAAGCUUGUAUGAAUGGUUGGAUGAGGAAAUANCUGUCUCUUUAAAAUUUUAAGNGAAUUUUAUAUUUAAGUAAAANAGCUUAAAUUUUUUUAAAAGACGAGAAGACCCUAUAGAGUUUUAUAAGAUUUAAUUUUUGAUUUUUAAGUAUUAUAACCUUAAAUAUUAAAUUUUAUUUGAUUGGGGNGAUUGAAAAAUUAAAUUAACUUUUUUUAAAUUAUAACAUUAAUUAAUGAAUUUUUGAUCCAUAUAAAUGAUUAUAAGAUUAAAUUACCUUAGGGAUAACAGCGUAAUUUUUUUUAAGAGUUCGAAUCGAAAAAAAAGUUUGCGACCUCGAUGUUGGAUUAAAGUUAAUUNUUGGUG
Molecule: ribosomal RNA, 426 nt
Filed under: Acalolepta fraudatrix fraudatrix
Lineage: Eukaryota; Metazoa; Arthropoda; Insecta; Coleoptera; Cerambycidae
Description: partial 16S rRNA
Rfam family: Bacterial large subunit ribosomal RNA
Source: RNAcentral